This 301-nucleotide ribosomal RNA is filed under the name uncultured bacterium. RNAcentral describes it as "partial 16S ribosomal RNA". It matches the Rfam family "Bacterial small subunit ribosomal RNA", at positions 509 to 808 of the family's 1533-position model. The record is from RNAcentral.
CAGUAGCCGCGGUAAUACGUAGGUGGCAAGCGUUGUCCGGAAUUAUUGGGCGUAAAGCGCGCGCAGGCGGCCUAUCCAGUCUGUCUUAAAAGUUCGGGGCUCAACCCCGUGAUGGGAUGGAAACUAGUAGGCUAGAGUAUCGGAGAGGAAAGCGGAAUUCCUAGUGUAGCGGUGAAAUGCGUAGAUAUUAGGAAGAACACCAGUGGCGAAGGCGGCUUUCUGGACGAAAACUGACGCUGAGGCGCGAAAGCCAGGGGAGCGAACGGGACUAGAUACCCGCGUAGUCCCUGUCUCUUAUACC